AGUGAACGCUGGCGGUAGGCCUAACACAUGCGAGUCGAACGGCAGCACAGAGGAGCUUGCUCCUUGGGUGGCGAGUGGCGGACGGGUGAGGAAUACAUCGGAAUCUACUCUGUCGUGGGGGAUAACGUAGGGAAACUUACGCUAAUACCGCAUACGACCUACGGGUGAAAGCAGGGGACCUUCGGGCCUUGCGCGAUUGAAUGAGCCGAUGUCGGAUUAGCUAGUUGGCGGGGUAAAGGCCCACCAAGGCGACGAUCCGUAGCUGGUCUGAGAGGAUGAUCAGCCACACUGGAACUGAGACACGGUCCAGACCCCUACGGGAGGCAGCAGUGGGGAAUAUUGGACAAUGGGCGCAAGCCUGAUCCAGCCAUACCGCGUGGGUGAAGAAGGCCUUCGGGUUGUAAAGCCCUUUUGUUGGGAAAGAAAUCCAGCUGGCUAAUACCCGGUUGGGAUGACGGUACCCAAAGAAUAAGCACCGGCUAACUUCGUGCCAGCCGCCGCUGUAA
RNAcentral lists this ribosomal RNA (506 nucleotides) under uncultured bacterium. Its description in RNAcentral is "partial 16S ribosomal RNA". It matches the Rfam family "Bacterial small subunit ribosomal RNA", at positions 29 to 523 of the family's 1533-position model. The record is from RNAcentral.